RNAcentral lists this ribosomal RNA (528 nucleotides) under uncultured bacterium. RNAcentral describes it as "partial 16S ribosomal RNA". It matches the Rfam family "Bacterial small subunit ribosomal RNA", at positions 355 to 900 of the family's 1533-position model. The record is from RNAcentral.
UGGGGAAUAUUGGACAAUGGGGGCAACCCUGAUCCAGCAAUGCCGCGUGUGUGAAGAAGGUCUUCGGAUUGUAAAGCACUUUCGACGGGGACGAUGAUGACGGUACCCGUAGAAGAAGCCCCGGCUAACUUCGUGCCAGCAGCCGCGGUAAUACGAAGGGGGCUAGCGUUGCUCGGAAUGACUGGGCGUAAAGGGCGUGUAGGCGGUUUACACAGUCAGAUGUGAAAUCCCCGGGCUUAACCUGGGAGCUGCAUUUGAUACGUGUAGACUAGAGUGUGAGAGAGGGUUGUGGAAUUCCCAGUGUAGAGGUGAAAUUCGUAGAUAUUGGGAAGAACACCGGUGGCGAAGGCGGCAACCUGGCUCAUGACUGACGCUGAGGCGCGAAAGCGUGGGGAGCAAACAGGAUUAGAUACCCUGGUAGUCCACGCUGUAAGCGAUGUGUGCUAGAUGUUGGGUAACUUUGUUAUUCAGUGUCGCAGUUAACGCGUUAAGCACACCGCCUGGGGAGUACGGCCGCAAGGUUGAAAC